RNAcentral lists this transfer RNA (74 nucleotides) under Marmota monax (woodchuck). RNAcentral describes it as "tRNA.Ala". The record is from RNAcentral. Lineage: Eukaryota; Metazoa; Chordata; Mammalia; Rodentia; Sciuridae.
GCUGGGGAUGAGGCUCAAUGGCAGAGCACUUGCCUAGCAUGUGAGAGGCCCUGGGUUCAAUCCCAAUUACAGUG